This 1182-nucleotide long non-coding RNA is filed under the name Nicotiana benthamiana. Its description in RNAcentral is "long non-coding RNA (NBEN_LNC029579)". Lineage: Eukaryota; Viridiplantae; Streptophyta; Magnoliopsida; Solanales; Solanaceae. The record is from RNAcentral.
AUCCAUGGUAAGGAACAAGAAUUGAAGAAUGAAGGAUAUGUCCAACGACGCUAUUCAACUUCUGGUUAUUUGAAAAACUUCCAUGUCCACUGCAUACACAAUUCACAAGGAAACCAAAAUGGGGUCACCAAAUUAAGCUCCAAAUAACAUUAAAAAUCAAAUCUUUGAUGAAAAAUCACUAGGAUGCAUUACCAAUCAUGACCAAGAACAAAGAGAGCCCAAAACAUAGUACUCUGAGCAAACCAAUACAAAGGCCAAACAACCCAAUUGUUGAAAUAAGCAGCCGCAGCUGCCAAUCCAAAUACAAUAGUAACAUCCCUAACAACAUAACUCAUAGAUUUCCAUGGAUUCUUGACCCAACAAUGCUUAGGAAUAGCUGCCCUAAUAUCAGACAACUUAAAUGGUGGGGGUGCCCCUGGGCAACAUCCCUCACAACAUAACUCAUAGAUUUCCAUGGAUUCUUGACCCAACAAUGCUUAGGAAUAGCUGCCCUAAUAUCAGACAACUUAAAUGGUGGGGGUGCCCCUGGGUCAAAAAACUCAUUAUCUGUUGUUCUCUCAUCUUCUCCGACAGUUUGGAUCCUAAGUGGUGCACUUACCCUCAAUGCCCAAUUCCUCUCUUUAUUAGUAUUAGACAAAGAAAUUGAAGAACCACUCAGAUCUGUAGGUGAAAUUCUCAACUUAAUGUGAGAGGAGACAAAAAUGGCUGCCCCAGUUCUAGGCUUUGAGUAGAUUCUUGGCAGUGGUCUAAGCGUGAAAUUCUCAACUUAAUGUGAGAGGAGGCAGAAGUGGCUGCCCCAGUUCUGGGCUUUGGGUAGAUUCUUGGGAGUGGUCUAAGACCACAUUCUGAUAAAACCCAACUUGCCAUUGAAGGAUAAAGAGGAGAGAGAUUUUCUUGAACUCUGUAUCUCUCUCAAAGAAGAGGAGAGAGAUGCAAAUAUGGGGAAACUAAUGCUAAUACAGGAAAAUAUAAAAAGGGUGUUUUAAACAAGUCUCAAAAAAUGUGUGUUUGUUACCAUAAAUUACUAUUUGUUUUUCUAUUGGUUGGUUUUUAGGCUAUAGGUGGGGUGGAGACUGGAGAGAGAAUUGGAUGUGUGAAGAUAAAUCAGGGGAAAUCUAAGCUUCAACAAGAGCUACAAAAACCAACCUCAACUUGUGUUGCUUGUUGAUUGUCUUGUUUUUC